Molecule: long non-coding RNA, 564 nt
Organism: Empidonax traillii (willow flycatcher)
Lineage: Eukaryota; Metazoa; Chordata; Aves; Passeriformes; Tyrannidae
Exons: 2
Source: RefSeq, a predicted model, not a curated record
GCCGCCGCUCCCUCCCUGAGGGGCGUCUGGGGCGCGCGGGGUGCGAGCGGAGAGCGCCGGAAUUAACAGUUCUGUGUCUUAUCGGAGCGUAAAUUACCCAUAAAUGUGGCGAAGAAGCGUGUGGGUUGGUGGGAAUCCUUCAGAUGAAGGGCAGGCGCUUCCGCAGCUGAGGCAUAGGCCUGGGGCAGGCCGAGCAUCGCCACCGAAGGAUGAAAAAAAGCUGGGAUAUUUUAAAAACAGUGACAUGGAAUGGCAGAGCUCUGCUCACCACUCACAAGGUGCCUGCAGCCACCAAGGGAGGUGAGGCAGGUGAGAGGCUGCUGCACUAAACACCUGUCUGAGCUAAAGUAAAACUGAAACUUGCAACAGAAUUUACUCUGGGGUAACUCAGAGCUUUCACUUUGGAAAUAUCAUUGUCUUGUCAGAUUUCAGGAAAGGAGAGGCAUUGUCAAAUUCCAUAUAAUGGAAUGAUUUCUAAUUUUAGAAUGAUUUCUAAUUCUGUAUUGAUCUUGAAUCACAGGUGAUGUACAUUGGCCAGGUGAAUGAAGGGAUUUAUGCAUCAUA